CCUUUGUGGCUCAGCGGGUUAAGAACCCAACUUGUAUCCAUGAGGAUUCCGGUUUGAUUUCUGGCUUUGUUCAGUGGGUUAAGGAUCCUGCAUUGCCCCAAGCUUUUGCAUAGGCUGCAGAUGAGGCUUGGAUCCAGUGUUGCCAUGGCUGUGGCAUAGGUGGGCAGCUGCAGCUCCAAUUUGACCCCUAGCCUGGGCACUUCCAUAUGCCACAGGUGUGGCCCUAAAAAAAAAGAAGUAUAUACAUCUUCUAAUCAACAGUUUUUUUUGUCGUUGUUUUGUUGUUUUGUCUUUUUGUCUUUUUUGAGGGCUGCACCCAUGGCAUAUGGAGUUCCCAGGCUAGGGUCUAAUCAGAGCUGUUGCCACCAGCCUAGGCCAGAACCACAGCAACGCCAGAUUCGAGCCAUGUCUGCAACCUACACCACAGCUCACGGCAAUGCCAGAUCCUUAACCCACUGAACAAAGCCAGAAAUCAAACCGGAAUCCUCAUGGAUACAAGUUGGGUUCUUAACCCGCUGAGCAAGGCCAGGGAUAGAACCGGAAACCUCAUGGUUCCUAGUCAGUUUUGUUUCCUCUGCGCCACGACGGGAACUCCGUUUUGUUCGUUUGCUUUUUAAAUAUCUGUUUAGUUUCUAAAAUGUCUCGAUUUACCUCUUUCUUGUUAAGCUUAAUGACAGUGAAUACUGAAGAUUUAAUGUGAUAUUUCCCAUCUGUUUGAGGAUAAGCGUGUUUUAGAAUCUCAGUUUCCUUUGGCUUUAGCUAAACCUUACAGAGCCUGAUGUGGCCCUCAUCAGUACGAGAAUGAAAGUCAUGUUCUUUUGCCUUUGUUCACCCACAGAAGAGUCGUCUUCCCCAGAUGACUCCCGAAAGCUCCAGUGGGCUGGACUUUGACUUGGUUCCAGUAGACAGCUCAGUGUUAUCCUGUGAACGACCAAGGAUUAAUCAAGAGAAAAAGGAGGAGGAAAGGAAGAGCUACCGAUGCAUGGGUGUCCCCCACCAUCUCCCAUAAAAAGCAUCUUAAAGAAAACCCUAAG
Molecule: long non-coding RNA, 1034 nt
Filed under: Sus scrofa (pig)
Lineage: Eukaryota; Metazoa; Chordata; Mammalia; Artiodactyla; Suidae
Description: lncRNA (ENSSSCG00030009916.1)
Source: RNAcentral